Molecule: non-coding RNA, 4834 nt
Organism: Taeniopygia guttata (zebra finch)
Lineage: Eukaryota; Metazoa; Chordata; Aves; Passeriformes; Estrildidae
Source: RefSeq, a predicted model, not a curated record
UUCCUGCAGUCUCUUCACGCAGCAGGAAAUCACAGCACGAGCCCUUAGCAUUUGUUCUCAUCCUAUGCAAUGCUGCAAAGGGCAGCCUGCACACGUCUUCUGCUGUGCAACAGAGAGAGGAGAGUGCAAAGGGCUGAUCUCUGAGUAAGGGCAGUAUUUAUGUCUAAACAUUUCUCUCAAAGCACACAGUUUCUUUGGGGCUUUCAGAUCCAUGGUCUUUAGGGAAAUGCAACAGCAUGUAGUUGACUAAUUGGAUGCAUUAUUUAUAACAUUACUGACACACACAGUGGGUUUUCCUUUUGCAAACUGAAUAGAGAUUGGUAGCAGGCAUGCUGGGGACACAAUCUGGGACAAUGACAUUGCAUAUGAAUUAUUGCUAUAACUGUUGAGCUUUGCCGGACUACCUGAUCAGAAUUAGAAACCUAUUUUCUUCGUGUAAGCAGAGGGCCAGAGGCAUCAAUUAAUUUUUGACUGAGCCUUGAUUAAAUUCAGUCUACAGGACCUUGAGGUAAGCUAGAAAUCCAAGUAGUUUAGAUACAUAAGGCAAUUUAGCCAAAUGGUAUGCAGGCAGCCCCAGAACAAUGGCUAGUCAAUAUGAAAAUCUAUUUUAGAAAUCCACUCUGCCCUCUGUCCUUUUUUCUUGAGUAACCAUCUUAGAUAUUUGUAAGGUUUCUGGCUGCUUCAACAUGAAAGCAAUUUCUCUUGUAAAGAUAUGAUGCCGAUAUAGGCCCUUAGGAAGAAAACUUGUAAUUAAAUUACUAUAUCAUAUUUCUGCCUCCUGACUCUAACAGUACAAUUGAGAGCACAGAAGCACAGACUGUGUAAGGCUGGAAGGACCACUGGAGGUCAUCUAGUCUAGCCUCCCUCCUACCAGGGUCAUCCUAGAGCACAUUGCACAGGAUGGCACCCAGACAGUUCUUGAAUGCGUACAGUGAUGGAGAGACCGCUGUCUCUCUGAACAAUCUGUUCCACUGCAAUCUGUUCCCACACAGUAAAGUUCUUCCUCAUAUCCAGGUGGAGCUUCCUGUGCAUCAGUUCCUGGCCAUUGUCUUUUGUCCUAUUGCUUGGCAUCACCACAAAGAACCUGGCUCCAUCCUCAACACCCUCCCUUGAGAUACUUACGGAUAUUGAAGAAAUCCCCUCUCAAUCAUCUCUUCACUAGGCUACACAGGGUGAGUUUCUUCAGCUAUUUCUUGUGAGGUGCUCUAGCAUUACAUUUGAAAGAAAUGUCUAGUAAUUAAUCUCACUGAUUAGAAAAAGUUGCUUGUCCAGUAUCACGAUUCCUAUGACUUCCACAGUUCUCUGAAGCCACACUUAACAAUUCUGUUUGCAGGGGCUGCCAGCCCAAUACACCUCCCACAUGCAGGGAUUAAUAGUUUUCCACUGAGCAGUUCCAGGGAAACGUCAAUGACUUCACAGUUUUGAUGACUACUGUUUACUUAGAUAAGUUAAGAAAAGUGACUUCUAAACCAUGCCUUGAUGUUUAUGAUGACAGUAUCAAAAUCUGAAAAGGUUAGUGAUUACAUUAAUGCUGCACAUUCAUAUGGAAGGAAUGCUUUGUCAUUUAUUUUGUUCUGCUUGAUGACUUAUGGGUAUAGAAAGAUGAGAUGAACUGCAGAAUCAUUUGUCUUUUAUAAAAUAACUGAAAUGAUUGUCCUUCCUUACCCUGACUCAGGGAGAUUUAUACCAUGGUAUUUCAGCCUGAUUUACUGUGUGUCUUUUUCACAGGACAAUACCAAAUCCAGUUUUCCAUGAAAGGAUUCAAACCUUCAAGCAGAAGGUGACUGGGCUCCAUCUGGGAACCUUUUGGAGUUGAGGCAGUUCUGAAUGAAGACAUUUUUCUAAGGGGGAACUGUCAUCUGUGCAAUAUCAAAGUGUGUGUGCGUGGGUGGAAUCACAUAUUGGGAAUACACUUUCAUGAUUAUUUUAAUGGUGUAAUUUUAAUUGUUUAGUUGAACAAGAUUGAUCUGAUGAGGUAUGCUAACAACUAAAUCCCUCUGAGAGGAAUCUGCCUCCAUUUGUUAACAUUGCUGACCAAGAUUAGUUGCCAGCAAAUACUUGUGGAAGAUGACAGAAUAGACUGUGGUGCAUUCAUUCCCCCAUCAGAGAUUCAGCUGGGGUUUACUGAAGAAGUUUUCUUUCAGCAUAACAUAAAUAAAAUUUUGGGGAAAGUAGUGGAUUUAUUGGGGUUUUUUAUAUCCAUGUAAGUUUACUAGUUAUUUCAGACUACCCCUGGGUAGAUUGCAGCAAACAGACUUUACAUAUAUGUGCCUAGAAAAAAUUUUCAUCUCUGCAACCAGUGUCUUUUUUUUUUUAUUUUUUAAAAGGAAAGACAAACUGCCAGGUGAGCUAUUUGUGAUGCAGUUUCUGGGAGAUCCUCCCAAACACUUUUUAUAAAUGUCAACAACUUAACUUUUAGGCUACUUAGUCUAAUCCCUAGGCCAUAUACUCGUGCAAGCACACCUCACCAGUGCUGUCUAUUCACCAGUAUUUGCUUCAAGACAGCAGAAGAGGUUUUAAAAUCUGUCUUCUUUGUUGCACGCACUUUUGUGGAUAACUUUCUAUCCCAUGUGCAGUGGUGUACAGUUUGUGUUCUGGCAGCAAAUUCGUGCAUGAUUCCAGUUCCCUAAACACUUUUAGAGCCCAUCCAAAAUUCUCAAGUCGAUAACACUAGUAAACUGAUACUAUUUGUCAAGUAUCUGAGGGACCAAUAAUAAGCUAGAACCAAUCACACUCCCUUUGCAACAUGUAUGACUCUUAAUUAAGACAUAGUAAUGGUAUGGCAAGUAUUAAAAGGCAAGCAAAUGAUUAUGAGGUAAGUAUUACUGGAGAAACAACCUUCUAUUUUCCUUUGGGUUUUAGAGAUCCAACUACCUCAAUAUGCCAUGCUGCUCUGGAAAGAAGUCAAUCUAUCAAUUCAAAAUGGAUAUUCCAUAAUUUUGCUCUGCAGGCUUAUUACUUAUUGAUUUACAAUCUAUUCUUGAUUACUCCAACAGCGGGUAAACCUGUUCACAGGACUUCCACAGCAACUAAAGAAAAAAAAAAAAGAUGAGAAGAAAAUAAAAUUAUAGAAUGGUUUGCAUUGAAAAUGUUCAUAAAGAUCAUCUAGUUCAAACUCCUCUGCUAUAGGCAGGGAUGCCAUUCACUAGACCAGAUUGCUCAGGGCCCCGUCCAACCUGUCCUUGAAAAUUUCCACAGAUGAAGUAUUCACAAUUUCUCUGGGCCAACCUGUUCCAGUGCCUUGCUACCCUCACAGUGCAGCAUUUCUUCCUAAAAUCCACUCUAGAUCUACUCAGAUUAAGCCUGGCAUUCAGUAAUAUUCAGGUACCCAGCUACCUGAAUAUGCCAUGCUGCUUUGGAAAGAAGUCAGUUUAUCUCUUCAAACCAAAUAUUCCAUCAUUUUGCUCUGAAGGUUCAUUACUUACUGAUUUACGAUUUCUUAUUGAUUAUUUCAAAAGACAAACCUGUCUCACAGAACUUUUAGAGCAACUGAAAAAUCAACAAAAAAAAUCGAAAAGAGAAGAUCUGUAAUUUCAGAGGCCAGAAACAGAGUGAUGAGCAUAUUUAUACAGUCAACAGAAAUGCAACAAGCUGUUAAUGUAUUCUGUUCUCUCCUACACUAAAUACAGACACAUAAUGAAGAUGGAUGCACUGGUGCAUGUGAGAAUGGAGCACAACAGUGGGAGAAGUUUGACAAACAGGAAUAACUUCCAAGUUCCUCAGAGCUGGGAAUCAGCACUGCACUCAGAGAAACAAGCCAAGCUGAGAGGACUUUCUGGCUCCAACUGCAAGGAAGGACAGCCUGAACAACUCUACUGAAACCCGCACUAUUUCUCAAAACACUUCUGUCCUGUCUGGUGAUAAUAGGCAAGACAAACAGACACAUUCCAAGCAUUCUUGGAGACAUCCUGCUGCAAGCCUUCCUACAGCUUAUUUCAAAAAACAGACUUAUACAAAAACAAAUCAAAUAUUGGCUCAUCAGUUUUUACUUAAAAUGGACACACAGAAAAUGUCUGUCUUUUGACCAACUGAAAUUUUGGAGGUUUCCUCCCUCCUUUUUUCCCCUGUCUUUUUGUUUGUUUUCCUAGUGAGUGCAGGCUUACUGAUUUCACAAAUUUCAGAAUCCAAUAUACUUUUGCUGUAUGUAAGCACUGGAUUAGUGAUAUUUAUCGUAAAAGACAAAACUUGGUUUAUCUUCUGUAUCUACAGAUGCUUAAUAGAUCUUUUUCUGAAUAAUUUUCAUAGCUCUCCAUCUCAGCUAAUUUUGACUGUUGAUUCAACUGAAUUAUUAACAGAAUAAAUGAACCGGGCAACUUGUUCCUCAUCCUUCAAAUGUAACUGAAAAAUUCAUAAUUGCUACAACUUUCAUGUGCUGUAGGACUCAAUAAUAAUGAGACAAGUAUGUUUUAAAUACUAAUAACCUACUAAUAACCAUAAGGAAAAAACAGUUUUCACAGAGAGUUUCUCAUUCAUAUACUGUCACAUCUCACCUUCUACGGUACUUUUGCCCUCUUGGGUAUUUAUUUAACAUUUUAGGUGCACCAAAUAAAAAUCUAACUUCUCAGAUUAAACAGUCUCUGUUUCCAACCUGACAAAAACUAUUCGGACAGUUUAUCUAAUUUUCCAGUUGCCUUAAAUUAUGUAGAUAAAAUUAGCAGUUUGUAAGUUAUAGCAAUAAGAGAGUAAGAGGAGGAUGGAGAGGAAACUGACUGACAAGGAAAUCCUAAUGGAUUUUUGAGAUUAAGAAAAAUCAAAUGCUUUCUGAAGUCUUACUUUAUGUUGGUGAAACAAAUCACACAAAAAAUCCAACAGAGACAUAAGAUUAAUGGGAAAA